This 647-nucleotide ribosomal RNA is filed under the name uncultured Eubacteriaceae bacterium. Its description in RNAcentral is "bacterial SSU rRNA". It matches the Rfam family "Bacterial small subunit ribosomal RNA", at positions 735 to 1397 of the family's 1533-position model. The record is from RNAcentral. Lineage: Bacteria; Bacillati; Bacillota; Clostridia; Eubacteriales; Eubacteriaceae. RNAcentral also lists the same sequence under 1 other name.
GAAUACUGACGCUGAGGUACGAAAGCGUGGGGAGCAAACAGGAUUAGUACCCUGGUAGUCCACGCCGUAAACGAUGAGCACUAGGUGUCGGGGCCGCAAGGUUUCGGGCCGCAGUUAACGCAUUAAGUGCUCCGCCUGGGGAGUACGCACGCAAGUGUGAAACUCAAGGAAUUGACGGGGACCCGCACAAGCAGCGGAGCAUGUGGUUUAAUUCGAAGCAACGCGAAAACCUUACCAGGGCUUGACAUCCUUCUGACCGGAACUUAACCGUUCCUUUCUUCGGACAGAGUGACAGGUGGUGCAUGGUUGUCGUCAGCUCGUGUCGUGAGAUGUUGGGUUAAGUCCCGAACGAGCGCAACCCUUGUCGUUAGUUACUAACAUUCAGUUGAGGACUCUAAUGAGACUGCGUGGAUAACACGGAGGAAGGUGGGGAUGACGUCAAAUCAUCAUGCCCCUUAUGUCCUGGGUACACACGUGCUACAAUGGUCGGUACAAAGAGACGCGAGACAGCGAUGUGGAGCAAAUCUAAAAGCCGAUCCCAGUUCGGAUUGCAGGCUGCAACUCGCCUGCAUGAAGUCGGAGUUGCUGUAAUCGUGGAUCAGAAUGCCACGGUGAAUGCGUUCCCGGGUCUUGUACACACCGCCCGU